RNAcentral lists this transfer RNA (62 nucleotides) under Coleoptera sp. 4 KM-2017. RNAcentral's name for it is "tRNA-Met". Lineage: Eukaryota; Metazoa; Arthropoda; Insecta; Coleoptera. The record is from RNAcentral.
GUUACUAUAGCGAAGUUUAGCCGCUUGAUAUUUAAGACAGAAUCUUCGUGAUUCUAUUGAGA